GCUUCAAUGGCUCAGUUGGCUAGAGCGCAGGUCUCAUAAUCCUGAGGUCGCAAGUUCGAGCCUUGCUUGGAGCA
This 74-nucleotide transfer RNA is filed under the name Serpula lacrymans var. lacrymans S7.9. RNAcentral describes it as "tRNA-Met (CAT) (tRNA-Met-CAT-1-1, tRNA-Met-CAT-1-2)". It matches the Rfam family "tRNA". From Rfam's summary of the family: Transfer RNA (tRNA) molecules are approximately 80 nucleotides in length. Their secondary structure includes four short double-helical elements and three loops (D, anti-codon, and T loops). Further hydrogen bonds mediate the characteristic L-shaped molecular structure. tRNAs have two regions of fundamental functional importance: the anti-codon, which is responsible for specific mRNA codon recognition, and the 3' end, to which the tRNAs corresponding amino acid is attached (by aminoacyl-tRNA synthetases). tRNAs cope with the degeneracy of the genetic code in two manners: having more than one tRNA (with a specific anti-codon) for a particular amino acid; and 'wobble' base-pairing, i.e. permitting non-standard base-pairing at the 3rd anti-codon position. Lineage: Eukaryota; Fungi; Basidiomycota; Agaricomycetes; Boletales; Serpulaceae. The record is from RNAcentral. RNAcentral also lists the same sequence under 1 other name.